Molecule: ribosomal RNA, 253 nt
Filed under: uncultured bacterium
Lineage: Bacteria
Description: partial 16S ribosomal RNA
Rfam family: Bacterial small subunit ribosomal RNA
Source: RNAcentral
UACGGAGGAUGCAAGCGUUAUCCGGAAUGAUUGGGCGUAAAGCGUCCGCAGGUGGCUUUGUAAGUCUGCUGUUAAAGAGUGAGGCUCAACCUCAUAAGAGCAGUGGAAACUACAAGGCUAGAGUACGUUCGGGGCAGAGGGAAUUCCUGGUGUAGCGGUGAGAUGCGUAGAGAUCAGGAAGAACACCGGUGGCGAAAGCGCUCUGCUAGGCCGUAACUGACACUGAGGGACGAAAGCUAGGGGAGCGAAUGGG